This 406-nucleotide ribosomal RNA is filed under the name uncultured bacterium. Its description in RNAcentral is "partial 16S ribosomal RNA". It matches the Rfam family "Bacterial small subunit ribosomal RNA", at positions 30 to 526 of the family's 1533-position model. The record is from RNAcentral.
AUUGAACGCUGGCGGCAGGCCUAACACAUGCAAGUCGAACGAGUGGCGGACGGGUGAGUAAUGUCUGGGAAACUGCCUGAUGGAGGGGGAUAACUACUGGAAACGGUAGCUAAUACCGCAUACCAUCAGAUUUGCCCAGAUGGGAUUAGCGUGUUGGUUGGGUAACGGCGCACCAAGGCGACGAUCCCUAGCUGGUCUGAGAGGAUGACCAGCCACACGUGAACUGCGACAAGGUCCAGACUCCUACGGGAGGCAGCAGUGGGGAAUAUUGCACAAUGGGCGCAAGCCUGAUGCAGCCAGGCCGCGUGCAUGAAGAGGGCUUUCGGAUUGUAAAGUACUUUCAGCGGGGAGGCGUUACCCGCAGAAGAAGCCCCGGCUAACUCCGUGCCAGCAGCCGCGGUAAUUC